This 130-nucleotide ribosomal RNA is filed under the name Geobacillus stearothermophilus. RNAcentral describes it as "partial 16S ribosomal RNA". It matches the Rfam family "Bacterial small subunit ribosomal RNA", at positions 1415 to 1533 of the family's 1533-position model. The record is from RNAcentral. Lineage: Bacteria; Bacillati; Bacillota; Bacilli; Caryophanales; Anoxybacillaceae. RNAcentral also lists the same sequence under 1 other name.
CAACACCCGAAGUCGGUGAGGUAACCCGCAAGGGAGCCAGCCGCCGAAGGUGGGGCAAGUGAUUGGGGUGAAGUCGUAACAAGGUAGCCGUACCGGAAGGUGCGGCUGGAUCACCUCCUUUCUAAGGGGA